This is a non-coding RNA of Pelobates cultripes (western spadefoot toad), 365 nucleotides long. Lineage: Eukaryota; Metazoa; Chordata; Amphibia; Anura; Pelobatidae. The record is from the annotation of a GenBank genome assembly.
CUGUAACCAACACCUCCAAUCUCACUCCAAUUAGCUCUUGGAGAUGUCAUUAGUCUAGGGGUUUACAUACUUUUUCCACCUGCACUGUGAAUGUUUACAUGUAGUGAUGUCGCGAACGCGAACUUCCGCAAAUGUUCGAACCGGCGAACCGCCAUAGGCUUCAAUGGGCAGGCGAAUUUUAAAACACACAGGGACUCUUUCUGGCCACAAUAGUGAUGGAAAAGUUGUUUCAAGGGGACUAACACCUGGACUUUGGCAUGCCGGAGGGGGAUCCAUGGCAAAACUCCCAUGGAAAAUUACACAGUUGAUGCAGAGUCUGGUUUUAAUCCAUAAAGGGCAGAAAUCACCUAACAUUCCUAAAUCAC